RNAcentral lists this unclassified non-coding RNA (371 nucleotides) under soil metagenome. RNAcentral describes it as "partial contains 5.8S ribosomal RNA, internal transcribed spacer 2, and large subunit ribosomal RNA". The stretch from base 1 to 117 matches the Rfam family "5.8S ribosomal RNA", at positions 35 to 154 of the family's 154-position model. The record is from RNAcentral.
GAUGAAGAACGCAGCAAAUCGCGAUAUGUAGUGUGAUCUGCCCAUAGUGAAUCAUCAAAUUUUUGAACGCAUCUUGCACCCUUGGGUAUUCCUAAGGGUACGCCUGUUUCAGUAUCAUUCUAACUUCUUUUCCCCAUGAUUGGGGGAUGGAAAAAUUACGAUUGGCCUGGUAAGAACGUCUUUGGGCGUACUACUUGGCUUGAAUAUGACUCGGUUUUUGACUGGGUAGCCACCUUUUGGUAGUGAAUUCUGCAAAAAGUAAAGCUUUCCUAUAAGAAAACUCGGGCUAAUUUUAGCCCAAACUCAUACAAUUUGAUCUGAAAUCAGGCGGGAUUACCCGCUGAACUUAAGCAUAUCCAAUAAGCGGAGGA